UUGUCUCAAAGAUUAAGCCAUGCAUGUCUAAGUACAGGCUUUGGUACAGCGAAACCGCGAAUGGCUCAUUAAAUCAGCUAUAAUUUAUUAGAUUGUUCUCUACUUGGAUAACUGUGGGAAUUCUAGAGCUAAUACAUGCGCAAAAGCUCCGACCUUCGGGGAGGAGUGCAGUUAUUAGACCAAAACCAGCCGAGCUUCGGCUCGAACUGUUUGGUGACUCUGGAUAACGAUCAGCGGAUCGCAUGGCCUUGUGCCGGCGACAUAUCUUUCAAGUGUCUGACCUAUCAACUGACGAUGGUACGCGAUAUGCCUACCAUGGUGAUAACGGGUAACGGAGAAUAAGGGUUCGACUCCGGAGAGGGAGCCUGAGAAAUGGCUACCACAUCCAAGGAUGGCAGCAGGCGCGCAAAUUACCCACUCUCAGUACGAGGAGGUAGUGACGAAAAAUAACAAUGCGGGACUCUAUGAGGCCUCGCAAUUGGAAUGAGCGCACUUUAAAUCGUUCGACGAGGAUCUAUUGGAGGGCAAGUCUGGUGCCAGCAGCCGCGGUAAUUCCAGCUCCAAUAGCGUAUAUUAAAGUUGUUGCAGUUAAAAAGCUCGUAGUUGGAUCUGGGGUUCGGGUCGGUGGUUUGCCGCUCUGCGGCUACUGCCGUGCUCGACUCUUACUAGCCGGUGCGUCUCGUGGUGCUCUUCAUUGAGUGCCACGAGAGCCUGGCAUGUUUACUUUGAAAAAAUUAGAGUGCUCAAAGCAGGCGCUUGCGCCUGAAUAGUGUUGCAUGGAAUAAUGGAAUAGGACCUCGGUUCUAUUUUGUUGGUUUUCGGAACUUGAGGUAAUGAUUAAGAGGGACGGUCGGGGGCAUUCGUAUUUCGGUGUUAGAGGUGAAAUUCUUGGAUCGCUGAAAGACGGACAAAUGCGAAAGCAUUUGCCAAGAAAAA
Molecule: ribosomal RNA, 936 nt
Filed under: Stenostomum grabbskogense
Lineage: Eukaryota; Metazoa; Platyhelminthes; Stenostomidae
Description: SSU rRNA
Rfam family: Eukaryotic small subunit ribosomal RNA
Source: RNAcentral